CCGCUGAAUUAGUGAUUGGCGGGUUGUAUCUUUAAACUCUUAUUUACUGGAGAAAAUUUUAUGUCACUAACCACAGAGCAAACGGCAACAAUCAUUGCUGACUAUA
Molecule: non-coding RNA, 106 nt
Filed under: uncultured Paraglaciecola sp.
Lineage: Bacteria; Pseudomonadati; Pseudomonadota; Gammaproteobacteria; Alteromonadales; Alteromonadaceae
Description: Ribosomal S15 leader
Rfam family: Ribosomal S15 leader
About the family: The E. coli Ribosomal S15 gene 5' UTR can form two alternative structures. One that is a series of three hairpins, The other includes a pseudoknot. This structure causes translational regulation of the S15 protein.
Source: RNAcentral